Brassica napus (rape) is the source of this 621-nucleotide long non-coding RNA. RefSeq lists it as uncharacterized. The transcript has 2 exons. NCBI's taxonomy places the organism in Eukaryota, Viridiplantae, Streptophyta, Magnoliopsida, Brassicales, Brassicaceae. The record is from RefSeq and is a predicted model, not a curated record.
CAACAAUCGAAUCUUUUAUACUAUUAAACUUGGAAAUUAGAAUUUAAAUUCAACUGAUAAUGAAUACAUAUUGACUUACCUUACUAUAAAAUCUAUCAGUUUUAAUUAAUUUCAAGAUAUUUUUCCUAUUUGUUUUUCAUGAUUUGUUUGUAUGAGUCAUCUUCUUUAUUAUAAGUUUACUCUUGAUUUCUUUCUAUGUUUUUCAAUUUGUGGUACUUUUGAAAAAUAUCUACAAAUCUAAUUUGUUAUAUAUAAGAUAUUCAUGGAUGCAAUACAACCUCAUCACUGUUCUUUAUUUUAAAUUUUUCGCUUUUUGUUGCAUCAUCAAAAAUGGCUAAAACCACAAUUCUUGCUAUUUUCAUGGUUGUUCUUGUUUUAGGGACGGUGAUGGAGUCACAAGGACAAGAAAUGUGUACUGAUUAUUCUAAAGGAUCAGCACUUUGCGAAGCUAAACCAUGUAAUGAUCAGUGUGUACGCAAGUAUAAUGGACAUGGCAGGUGCUUAGACACAAUGUGCGUCUGCACUUAUAUUUGUAAAACUUAAUUUUUAUUUGUUACUAAUAAACUAUCAUCAAAUAUUUUUAAAUAAAAAUGUGUGAAAAAGAAUAUCGCAAUUUUCUUA